This 1450-nucleotide ribosomal RNA is filed under the name uncultured sediment bacterium. RNAcentral describes it as "16S ribosomal RNA". It matches the Rfam family "Bacterial small subunit ribosomal RNA". The record is from RNAcentral.
AGAGUUUGAUCCUGGCUCAGGACGAACGCUGGCGGCGUGCCUAACACAUGCAAGUCAAGGGACUCUUCGGAGUCACUGGCGCACGGGUGAGUAACGCGUAGGUCAUCUGCCCCUAUCUCUGACAUAACAUCGAGAAAUCGGUGCUAAUAUCAGAUGAGGUAGCAAUAUCAAAGGUUUCGGCUGGAUAGGGAUGAGCCUGCGUCUGAUUAGCUAGUUGGCGGUGUAAAAGACCACCAAGGCGACUAUCAGUAGCUGGUCUGAGAGGACGAUCAGCCACACUGGAACUGAGACACGGUCCAGACUCCUACGGGAGGCAGCAGUGAGGAAUAUUGGUCAAUGGGGGAAACCCUGAACCAGCGACGCCGCGUGCGGGAUGACGGGGCUUUGCCCUGUAAACCGCUGUCGGAGGGGAAGAAAAGCCGGGUCGCCCGGCUGGGACUGUACCCUUAGAGGAAGGUUCGGCUAACUACGUGCCAGCAGCCGCGGUAAUACGUAGGAACCAAGCGUUGUCCGGAAUUACUGGGUGUAAAGGGUGCGCAGGCGGAUUUGUGCGUCAAGGGUUAAAUACCUCGGCUUAACCGAGGAAAUGCCUUUGAUACGGCAAGUCUUGAGUACGAGAGAGGAUGGUAGAAUUCCUGGUGUAGCGGUGAAAUGCGUAGAUAUCAGGAGGAAUACCCGUGGCGAAGGCGGCCAUCUGGCUCGUUACUGACGCUCAGGCACGAAAGCGUGGGGAGCAAACAGGAUUAGAUACCCUGGUAGUCCACGCCGUAAACGAUGAUUACUCGUUGUUGGCGAUACACAGUCAGUGACUAAGCGAAAGCGAUAAGUAAUCCACCUGGGGAGUACGUUCGCAAGAAUGAAACUCAAAGGAAUUGACGGGGGCCCGCACAAGCGGUGGAGCAUGUGGUUUAAUUCGAUGAUACGCGAGGAACCUUACCUGGGCUCAAAUGUAAGUUGACGUAUGGUGAAAGCCAUAUUUCUUCGGACAAUUUACAAGGUGCUGCAUGGUUGUCGUCAGCUCGUGCCGUGAGGUGUCGGGUUAAGUCCCAUAACGAGCGCAACCCCUAUCAUUAGUUGCCAUCAGGUAAAGCUGGGGACUCUAAUGAAACUGCCUACGCAAGUAGAGAGGAAGGUGGGGAUGACGUCAAAUCAGCACGGCCCUUACGUCCAGGGCUACACACGUGCUACAAUGGCCGGUACAGAGGGCAGCCACCUGGUGACAGGGAGCGAAUCUCGAAAGCCGGUCUCAGUUCGGAUCGAAGUCUGCAACCCGACUUCGUGAAGCUGGAAUCGCUAGUAAUCGCGCAUCAGCCAUGGCGCGGUGAAUACGUUCCCGGGCCUUGUACACACCGCCCGUCAAGCCAUGGAAGCUGGGGGUACCUGAAGUCGGUAACCGUUAAGGAGCUGCCUAGGGUAAAACCAGUAACUGGGGCUAAGUCGUAACAAGGUA